This 301-nucleotide ribosomal RNA is filed under the name uncultured bacterium. Its description in RNAcentral is "partial 16S ribosomal RNA". It matches the Rfam family "Bacterial small subunit ribosomal RNA", at positions 509 to 807 of the family's 1533-position model. The record is from RNAcentral.
CAGUAGCCACGGUAAUACGAAGGGUGCAAGCGUUACUCGGAAUUACUGGGCGUAAAGCGUGCGUAGGUGGUGGUUUAAGUCCGUUGUGAAAGCCCUGGGCUCAACCUGGGAAUUGCAGUGGAUACUGGAUCACUAGAGUGUGGUAGAGGAUAGUGGAAUUUCCGGUGUAGCAGUGAAAUGCGUAGAGAUCGGAAGGAACAUCUGUGGCGAAGGCGACUAUCUGGGCCAACACUGACACUGAGGCACGAAGGCAUGGGGAGCAAACAGGAUUAGAUACCCCGGUAGUCCCUGUCUCUUAUAC